Molecule: ribosomal RNA, 253 nt
Filed under: uncultured bacterium
Lineage: Bacteria
Description: partial 16S ribosomal RNA
Rfam family: Bacterial small subunit ribosomal RNA
Source: RNAcentral
GACAGAGGUGCCAAGCGUUAGGCGGAAUCACUGGGCUUAAAGCGUGUGUAGGCGGACUUCUAAGUACCUUGUGAAAUCCCCCGGCUCAACCGGGGAACGGCUGGGUAUACUGGGAGUCUUGAGCCAGCUAGGGGUCGCCGGAACAAGUGGUGGAGCGGUGAAAUGCGUAGAUAUCACUUGGAACGCCAAUGGUGAAAACAGGCGACUGGGGCUGUGCUGACGCUGAGACACGAAAGCGUGGGUAGCAAACAGG